GGCGCCCUCCCCGCCCCGCCCCGCCCGCCCCAGGCCCGAGCGAGGCGCCGCGGGAGGAAUUCCAGCCAUUUCCUCUGCGCCGCGCGCCAGAGUCCCAAGGCCAAGAACAGCCCUUGCAGCAAGAUGUGCGCCCCUCAUUCCUCACAAACGCUACAGCCACAGACCGCAUAAAUCCAGAUGAGGAAGCCGGUACCCAGCUGGCAGAAGAGAGGUUUGAACUCAGGGAUCUGACUCCACUGGUCAUGACUUGAACUUCUGCUGGGGGAUAAUCAAUUCUGAUGGCCUUUCUGACCAUCAAUGGAAACAACUCCACCGCAGUCUUUAACUGCCUUUAACAGCAAAGAAGACAUUCCUGCAACACUCACCUGCACCUAGCAGAUCUGAGUGCAACCUCAUUAAACUGAGUGGCCUCAGGGAACCAACUCCAACACCCCAGUGAAUGGAGGAACAAACUGUCCAUAGAAAUAAGAUUCUAAAUGGACUGGAUAUAAGUCACCAAGGUCAGGGUCAGCCCUGGACCAGCCCUUCCUGUGUGAUUUCAGGACCACAUGGAGGCCCAAGUGGCCUUUUUACUAAAAAUCAACCGUUAAAGAAUCAGAUGUGUGUUUAUAUAGGUCACUGGUAACUCACUUUGGACCACUGGCCCAAGACAUAUUUUGUCUGACUUUCAUAGCUUUUUUUUUUUAUUUGAGAGAGACAGAGACAGCAUGAGUGGGGGAAGGGCAGAGAGAGAAAGAGAGAGAGAGAGAGAGAGAGAGAGAGAGAGAGAGAGAGAGAGAGA
Felis catus (domestic cat) is the source of this 781-nucleotide long non-coding RNA. RefSeq lists it as uncharacterized. The transcript is spliced from 3 exons. NCBI's taxonomy places the organism in Eukaryota, Metazoa, Chordata, Mammalia, Carnivora, Felidae. The record is from RefSeq and is a predicted model, not a curated record.